AUUGAACGCUGGCGGCAUGCCUUACACAUGCAAGUCGAACGGCAGCACGGGCUUCGGCCUGGUGGCGAGUGGCGAACGGGUGAGUAAUACAUCGGAACGUGCCCUGUAGUGGGGGAUAACUAGUCGAAAGAUUAGCUAAUACCGCAUACGACCUGAGGGUGAAAGCGGGGGACCGCAAGGCCUCGCGCUACAGGAGCGGCCGAUGUCUGAUUAGCUAGUUGGUGGGGUAAAAGCCUACCAAGGCGACGAUCAGUAGCUGGUCUGAGAGGACGAUCAGCCACACUGGGACUGAGACACGGCCCAGACUCCUACGGGAGGCAGCAGUGGGGAAUUUUGGACAAUGGGGGCAACCCUGAUCCAGCAAUGCCGCGUGUGUCAAGAAGGCCUUCGGGUUGUAAAGCACUUUUGUCCGGAAAGAAAUGGCUCUGGUUAAUACCCGGGGUCGAUGACGGUACCGGAAGAAUAAGCACCGGCUAACUACGUGCCAGCCGCCGCCGUAA
This 500-nucleotide ribosomal RNA is filed under the name uncultured bacterium. RNAcentral describes it as "partial 16S ribosomal RNA". It matches the Rfam family "Bacterial small subunit ribosomal RNA", at positions 30 to 523 of the family's 1533-position model. The record is from RNAcentral.